RNAcentral lists this ribosomal RNA (636 nucleotides) under uncultured fungus. Its description in RNAcentral is "eukaryotic LSU rRNA". The stretch from base 240 to 394 matches the Rfam family "5.8S ribosomal RNA". Lineage: Eukaryota; Fungi. The record is from RNAcentral.
AAGUCGUAACAAGGUCUCCGUAGGUGAACCUGCGGAGGGAUCAUUACCGAGUUAGGGUCUCACCGGCCCGAUCUCCCAACCCUUUGUCUACUUGACCAUCGUUGCUUCGGCGAGCCCGUCCUCACGGACCGCCGGGGGGUCUUUGUACCCCUUGGCCCGCGCUCGUCGAUAGCCCCCAAAUUUAAAAAAUCUUAACUAAACGUGUCUUGAAUCUAAGUAUUAUUGUUAAAUAAAAACAAAACUUUCAACAACGGAUCUCUUGGUUCUGGCAUCGAUGAAGAACGCAGCGAAAUGCGAUAAGUAAUGCGAAUUGCAGAAUUCCAGUGAGUCAUCGAAUCUUUGAACGCACAUUGCGCCCUUUGGUAUUCCGAAGGGCAUGCCUGUUCGAGCGUCAUUAUCACCCCUCAAGCCCUCGGCUUGGUGUUGGACGGUUUGGUGGAGACCCCCCUCGGGUGGGCUUCUACCCCUCCCAAAGACAAUGACGGCGGCCUCGUUGGACCCCCGGUACACUGAGUUCUUCACGGGACACGUAUCGGACACAUGGGUUUACGGGACACCGGUCUGCCUCCCCUCAGGGAGAAUCUUUUUUUUAUCAAGGUUGACCUCGGAUCAGGUAGGGAUACCCGCUGAACUUAA